AACGAACGCUGGCGGCAGGCCUAACACAUGCAAGUCGAGCGAGGACUUCGGUUCUAGCGGCGGACGGGUGAGUAACGCGUGGGAAUGUGCCCUUCUCUACGGAAUAGCCCUGGGAAACUGGGAGUAAUACCGUAUACGCCCUAUUGGGGAAAGAUUUAUCGGAGAAGGAUCAGCCCGCGUUGGAUUAGGUAGUUGGUGGGGUAAUGGCCUACCAAGCCGACGAUCCAUAGCUGGUUUGAGAGGAUGAUCAGCCACACUGGGACUGAGACACGGCCCAGACUCCUACGGGAGGCAGCAGUGGGGAAUCUUAGACAAUGGGGGCAACCCUGAUCGAGCCAUGCCGCGUGAGUGAUGAAGGCCUUAGGGUUGUAAAGCUCCUUCAGCUGGGAAGAUAAUGACGGUACCAGCAGAAGAAGCCCCGGCUAACUCCGUG
This 433-nucleotide ribosomal RNA is filed under the name uncultured bacterium. RNAcentral's name for it is "partial 16S ribosomal RNA". It matches the Rfam family "Bacterial small subunit ribosomal RNA", at positions 29 to 507 of the family's 1533-position model. The record is from RNAcentral.